CUGUGUUACCAUUGUAUUGUUUUUUUCAUGCUGUUGCAGCUGGGGUGCAAGGUCCAUAACUAGUUUCACAACAUGAGAUGGGUAUGGGAAAAUAGCUAGAUGGAUUUGAAAGAGGAACCACAAAUAAAAGAAACUUGCAUCCAUCUUGAAACAUACUUGGAGAGAACUCAGAUAUUUGAUAACUAGCUCAGUGCUUCAUUGUUGUGGGUACUUCAAUGUGUUCCAUUAGCAGCACAGUCAUAAUUGAGAAAGUAAGACUGAUCAAAAGGUUUUUGACCACUCACUGUUCGUCUCUAGACUUUGUCCAUGUGAUUCAUAUCUUUAUCAUAGUAUGGACUCGGCUUUUGAAGCGUGGCAGCUGUGGCCUUACAGUCUUGAGUAGUGAAGUGUUACAUGCAACUCUUGACAGGUAAGAAGACAGUCAUGGUCCUCUCAUUAGGAAGAAAGAGACGGUACUACAGAACAAAGCUUCUCAGACUGAAAAUAUCUGGUUAGAUCAAUUCUACUAAUGACAAAGGAAGAGCCCCUUAUGGAAAAGCAGCACAUUACAGAACUCUGAUAACAUUUAAGUGUGUGUUGUUGUUGUUUGUUGUUUGUUUUGUAUUGUUUUUUCUUUAUCCAGGCUAAAAAAAAUAUAAAAAACCCUAACUUUGCAAUGCAACUCAUGCUAUCACGUAUAUCAUAUUUGUCCUGUAGAUCAUAUCUAUCCUGUGCGUGAAGUAGCUGGCACUUAGACCCCAUUGUUUUCAGUAAUUCACCAGAUAAAUUCAGUAACUGAAAAUGAGGGAGCUGUGAAACUGGGGCUCUUUUUAAAUGUUUUGAAGAGGUUUACCAAAAUGUACCUGCUUUUCAGUGACAUACCGUUAAGCAUAACUAGCUGGUCUAUUUCUAGCUUUGUGUAAGUAGUUAAUGGUUUUUU
Molecule: long non-coding RNA, 919 nt
Organism: Oxyura jamaicensis (ruddy duck)
Lineage: Eukaryota; Metazoa; Chordata; Aves; Anseriformes; Anatidae
Exons: 5
Source: RefSeq, a predicted model, not a curated record